Mauremys reevesii (Reeves's turtle) is the source of this 724-nucleotide long non-coding RNA. RefSeq lists it as uncharacterized. NCBI's taxonomy places the organism in Eukaryota, Metazoa, Chordata, Testudines, Geoemydidae. The record is from RefSeq and is a predicted model, not a curated record. The transcript has 3 exons.
GGAGUUCUCCAGGUGAAGGAGGAGCAAAUAGAGCACCUUUGGGAAUGAAAAACACAAGAUUCAGCAUGUUCCCAUUAGCACCAAGGGGAAACCAAAUGAAUUCUACAGCUUUGGCUGAUGACAGAAAAAUCAAAGAAUGAAAAAAUCGCUGGAAAAUUUUUUUCAGCCAGCUCUUGGGGACAAUGAUCCUUCCCAACCUCGCGGCAGGCCGCAUGGGAGGCUCAGCUUGCUACUGUUGAUAAAAAUGCAUUGAGAUCCUCAGAUGGGCGGCACAAGGACAAGCACAGACUAAGAUUGUCCAUUUCCUGACCAUACCGUGGGACGGAGCGACCCAUAACCUGCAGCCUCCUUCCACAAUGACAUUCCAGCCGUGCUUUGCGCCCAGGACUGGCUGGAUUUCCAGUAAUGGGAGCCAGAGCUGACCCAGAAGAGUCCAGCCAAGCUGGAGAUCCCGAUCAGAGCUGAGCAGGGGCGGAUGUAGCCUUCUGAUUCGAUGGGCACAAGACACUGAGCUGCCAAGGGACACCCACCGCCUGCAGGACCCAGCACUGUGGCCAUACUCCCAGCCUGGUGUGGAGAGAGACCCCAGAGGUGGGGUAGGAGGCUUUCCCCUCGCAGUGGCCGAGUCCUGUGCCCAGCGCCGGGUGUUGAGACCUGGCACACAGGGUUGCAGCUCCGUUCAGGUUUGGCCUGACAGCUCUUGCAUCACAAUGCUGAGUGGUGC